GUCCCCUUGGCGAUGUCCGAUGAAAUUGGAACGAUAUAGAAGAAGAUUAGCAUGGUCUUUGCGCAGGGAUGACAUGCAUAAAUCGAGAAAUUGUUCAAAAGUUU
Molecule: small nuclear RNA, 104 nt
Organism: Malus domestica (apple)
Lineage: Eukaryota; Viridiplantae; Streptophyta; Magnoliopsida; Rosales; Rosaceae
Source: RefSeq, a predicted model, not a curated record